GGCUAGGUCUUGUAUUUAUAGACGUUGGUGGUUGAGUUGUAGAAGGAUUCAACAAUUUAGAGUCCUUAUCCUCAUCAGAUAGAGUAAUUAAGUUAUAAGAGGACUAAAACACGUAAAAAGGCUCGAGACGAGGACAAUAUUUUGGCAUAUGGGCCUGACCUUAGCGGGGCCAAAUUAUUAGGCCCGACUUCUAAGGGCCCGAUCACUUUUUAGAGGAUAUUUGAAGACGAGAGUGGUCGAGGUAUUGACCUCGGGCCAUGCUUGAAAGUUCGGGGUCGAGCUAUAAUUUUUGUACACAUCAUAGGCCCCCGUGCAUCCAUGUCAGGGGCUCAUGCGCAAUGUGGGAGUUUCUGGCAUGAGAUGCAUAAGUAUAUUAAGUUCUAGAAUAGGCAUGGUUAUGUCGAGUCGAUAGGCCCUCGAGCACAUAGGUCUAGGAUAGCAAGUAUUGACUAUCUAAAAUUUGAAAGGAAUGAGCUCGAUUUUAAGGCUUAUUAGAAAUCUUGAAAGAAAGGACUUGAUCCUGCCCUUGUUGAAAUUUUUGAGAGAACUGAGCUCGACUUCGACCUUGUAAAAGAAUUUGGCAUAAAUGGGCUCAACCUCGAGCUUUAUUAGUACUUGAAGUGAAAGAGCUUGACCUCUACCUUGUUUAGAAGUUGAAAAGAACGAGCUCGACCUCGAGCUUCGUUAAAAGUUUUGGAAGUAACGAGUUUGACGAAUAGACAAAGUUUCAUAUAGGAGGCUAAGUGGAAGCUCAAUCCUAUUCUGAAUAUAUUUAUCUCAAGCUUGUUGGCUGGAGUUUGACAAUAAUUUGAGCUCUAGAACAUAGCCCGAGUCCAAUGUGAAAUAAUAUCCCGAGC
This 857-nucleotide long non-coding RNA is filed under the name Olea europaea (common olive). RNAcentral describes it as "long non-coding RNA (OEUR_LNC008292)". Lineage: Eukaryota; Viridiplantae; Streptophyta; Magnoliopsida; Lamiales; Oleaceae. The record is from RNAcentral.